AAUCCCGUGAACCAUCGAGUCUUUGAACGCAAGUUGCGCCCGAAGCCUUCGGGCUGAGGGCACGCCUGCCUGGGCGUCACGCAUCGCGUCGCCCCCCUCCCAAUUGAGCACGGGAGGGGUGUGCGGAGAUUGGCCUCCCGUGCGCCUCGGCGCGCGGCCGGCCC
Molecule: ribosomal RNA, 164 nt
Filed under: Barleria obtusa
Lineage: Eukaryota; Viridiplantae; Streptophyta; Magnoliopsida; Lamiales; Acanthaceae
Description: 5.8S ribosomal RNA
Rfam family: 5.8S ribosomal RNA (bases 1-79)
Source: RNAcentral